GGAGGGGUGCCGGAGUGGUCGAUCGGGCUCGACUCGAAAUCGAGUGUGCCUUCUGGGUACCGUGGGUUCGAAUCCCACCCCCUCCG
This 86-nucleotide transfer RNA is filed under the name Tistlia consotensis USBA 355. Its description in RNAcentral is "alpha proteobacterium USBA 355 tRNA". It matches the Rfam family "tRNA". From Rfam's summary of the family: Transfer RNA (tRNA) molecules are approximately 80 nucleotides in length. Lineage: Bacteria; Pseudomonadati; Pseudomonadota; Alphaproteobacteria; Rhodospirillales; Rhodovibrionaceae. RNAcentral also lists the same sequence under 1 other name. The record is from Rfam by way of RNAcentral.